Molecule: ribosomal RNA, 253 nt
Filed under: uncultured bacterium
Lineage: Bacteria
Description: partial 16S ribosomal RNA
Rfam family: Bacterial small subunit ribosomal RNA
Source: RNAcentral
UACGGAGGAUGCGAGCGUUAUCCGGACUUAUUGGGUGUAAAGGGAGCGCAGGCGGGAAGCCAAGUCAGCUGUGAAAACUACGGGCUUAACUUGUAGACUGCAGUUGAAACUGGUUUUCUUGAGUGAAGUAGAGGUUGGCGGAAUUCCGAGUGUAGCGGUGAAAUGCGUAGAUAUUCGGAGGAACACCGGUGGCGAAGGCGGCCAACUGGGCUUUAACUGACGCUGAGGCUCGAAAGUGUGGGGAGCAAACAGG